UGGCUUGCUCUUGUUGCUGAACCGGCCUGAACUCAGCCUCACCCUCAUCCUGUUGGAGUGCAUUGAAACUACCGGGAGUAUCACCCGAUACGUAAAAAGGCUACUGAUCGACCGAUUCGGUCUAAUAACGAUGAUUAUUUUUGCACACAACUAAGGACUCAACAAGCACAGAUGAAAUUAUUGCCUUUAUCAACAUCACUCGAUUUUCGUGUUCUCGGCUCCUGCAAUUGAAGUUUUAUUCCUCGCGUCCCGCAGCGCCAUAGGUCCUUGCGAACCGAAAUCACCAACCCGGUAGCUGUCGCGGAGGCGGCUGUAUGUGGCUUCACGCACCCAUACCCCAUAUGACUCCUCAAAGCCUUCCAUAAUAAUGAUGUUAUGUUGUUUAUACUUGUUGCCCGGGAUGUGAGAUGCCAUACGAUGAACAAAAUUCCAUCCAUGCGUUUUACAUUGCAGCACCGACAACCUAGAAUGGAAGAAACCGGUCACGCGCGCAUCAUCAUUGCCCCAGUCUGUCCCCACAAUGCCCACACUUCUCGCCUGGUUUCGGAACGCGCUCUCCGCCCGCCCUCUGUUGGCAGGUAAGCUUAGCACAUUGCUAUGUCGUCAGUAUCCAACGCGAUUACUGUAAUUCAGUACACAAGAAUGCAAUCAGGAAUUGGCGGUUAGGCCAAUCGGCAACAGUUCACUGCAUUCCAAGGAAAAGCGGUGGCAUUAGUCAAGCCUAAGCAUAAAGGAGGUUGAAACCCUGUCCGUCCUUUUCGAAGGCCAGGUUACGUUCAGGUGCUUGCUAUUCUCAGUUAGUCCAUCGUGAUUAGACAUGCAUGAAACGCCGCGGAAACUCAUCAGGAGGAGGCUUCUUCGCAGCCCGAACCCGAAUCUUGUCGACACCGCUGGGCGCUGCACCUUAAUUAUGUAAUGUAAUUUGAAUCCACUUAUUUAAUGUGGCCCUCUGCGGCCUAAUUAUGGCCACCGUGAGAUGAUGAUGGAACGAGCUGUUUGCAGUUAAGAGUCACAAUCUCACAGCACACAAAAUGCGUCAGUGAAAGCGACUUACAUAUUACAUAGCUUCAAUUACAUUAUUUAAAUCAAAAGCUUCGCAUAUGAGCGUCCAGCCGGGGCGCGGCGGUAACUAUAUUGAAGCUAUGGGGAAAUGCAGAAGGCAUCACAAAAGCUCUGGAACCUGUAGCACGCGUACUACACUCCGCUUCCAGAAAUCGAACAAAGCUACAAAUAGACCCUCGUCGCGUAUAGUUCCGUUGCAGGACUUUUUCGGCCUACCGCCCCUCCAUAACGGUAGGGGCCACCAUUAAAAUAACUGCGAGCCUACUGCUUGCAAUAUGGCCAGCUGAUUCAACUUCUAGUAGCGUAAUCAUUCAUCUAGCUCUUAAGUAGUGAGCUGAAUCACCAGGAAAAGCGCACCGGUCGCUGCCUAACUUGCCUAGCCCUGCCGGGCUACCCGCUGUCUCGCACGCUAUUUUUGCGUAUGCGUGUUCAAAUGUCAUCCACUAUGCUAAGCCUACUAAUCUUUUCACUGCUGGCGGCUCCGGCAGGUAAGAGCUCGCGUCCUUUACCAUCUUGUAGAUGUGGCCAUUGGCCUCCAGUAGGGUCGGUCUUUUGCGGUCUCACUUAUGCGUGUGAUAUAGCUAUUAUUUAAAGUUUUCCUACUAAGCCACAAAGAUUGAGAACUCAUAAGUAACGCGGAAAAUUGCAUUCCCGGUUACUUUUAGGCAUUCGCGAGUAUGUGUCCUGAGUUUGGACAGAUUAAAAACCUGUCCUAAUAUUUAUCUACCUUCAUCCAAUCCUUUGUCAUCCGAGCUCCGUAGUAGCACCGAGCUGCAGCCUGACCCGUUACUAUUCAGCAGCGACUGAUUUUGCGUUGUUUUAACUUAGAUGGGUUGAGUAAUUGCCUCCAACAGCAUGAAUGUGUCAUUACGUAUGAUGUUGAGGUUAGGGAAGGCGUCAACAGUUGAAUCCUCCCGUUCCGCUGCCCGGAUGUGUAACAGCUCGCCCUCAGGACCGGCGCAGUCCGUCAGAAAAAACCCUAAUCCCUCUUUUAUUCGAGCUAAAUACUUGGCAAAAUACUCACAAGCAACUGCCGUACAACCCUCCCGCCUAAACAGGUUCCCUCUUUCAUGCGCUUUUAUUUUCAAUCCCCUCUUAAAACACACAUACAUACAGGCAGACAGACGUACGGCAGACAGACACGCGCACAUGCACAAACACUAUAGCCCACUGUAACAACCACAAGCACAAACACGCCCUGUCUUACCGUUUUCCCCCCCUCCCUUCCCCCGGCGGUGCCCAGCCUUUGCGCAAGACAUCCCGCCGGAUAUGCCAACCAUCAUUGGUCUCGUCGCUCAGCCGCCGCCCCCGCCAAAGCCCCCCAGGCCGCCGCCAAAGCCGCCGGCGCCGCCACCCAAGCCUCCAUCACCGCCCCCGCGGCCACCCAGUCUGCCGCCAAAGCCGCCCAGCCCCAAGCCGCCAGCACCGNNN
RNAcentral lists this long non-coding RNA (2493 nucleotides) under Volvox carteri. RNAcentral describes it as "long non-coding RNA (VCAR_LNC002594)". Lineage: Eukaryota; Viridiplantae; Chlorophyta; Chlorophyceae; Chlamydomonadales; Volvocaceae. The record is from RNAcentral.